CCUACGGGAGGCUGCAGUGGGGAAUAUUGCACAAUGGGGGAAACCCUGAUGCAGCAACGCCGCGUGAGGGAAGAAGUUAUUCGUUAUGUAAAGCUCUGUUAGCAGGGAAGAAAAUGACGGUACCUGAGUGAGAAGCCCCGGCCAACUACGUGCCAGCAUCCGCGGUAAUACGGAGGGGGCCAGCGUUAUCCGGAUUUACUGGGUGGUAAGGGGGCGUAGACGGGGGGGCAAGUCUGGAGUGAAAUGUCCCGGCUUAACUGCGGAACUGCAGUUGAAACUGGCGUUCUUGAGUGCGGGAGGGGUAGGCGGAAUUCCGAGUGUAGCGGUGAAAUGCGUAGAUAUUAGGAGGAACACCGGUGGCGAAGGCGGCUUACUGGACUUUAACUGACGUUGAGGCUCGAAAGCGUGGGGAGCAAACAGGAUUAGAUACCCCAGUAGUC
RNAcentral lists this ribosomal RNA (440 nucleotides) under uncultured bacterium. Its description in RNAcentral is "partial 16S ribosomal RNA". It matches the Rfam family "Bacterial small subunit ribosomal RNA", at positions 338 to 795 of the family's 1533-position model. The record is from RNAcentral.